CUUGACAUUGUCAUCGAAGGCAGGGGUUGGUCGGAUCGCUUGCAGCUGUUUUUGUAAACAGCUGUUUUGUUUCUUGUUUGAAUUGUUUACCUCUGUUUCUUUUUGCAGUUUACAACUCUGCUGUCAUUGUUGAGUUGGUUUGUAUUUGUGUGGGUCGAACUGGCAUCCAUGAAAACCCUGAUUUCAGCAGGAUUCAGCCCCUGCUUAAAACACAGUGUUUUGUUUGCUUUUUGUUACCAAACUUGAGCUUGCAGACCCUCAAACUGUAGUAAGUGGACCACCCUUGGACAGCUCUCUGUUUAACUCGUUGAGGUAACAUAAAAAUGAUCGGGACCACGUUGGAAGAACUGCACUUUUAUUUAACCAGCACUCCUCGCAGAAGAAAAGCAUAAAAUACAACACUCGUCGCUGCAGAGUCACACACAGCUCCCUGCAUCCAAACGCCGAACACCAAAUACACAGUUUCCCAGAAUGCCCUGCUGAUAUAGCUGUGUAAACUCUAGCUCCUCCCACAUAAUAAAGUCACAGUCACAGGCUGAGCCUGUAACAUUUUCCUUUGAUAUAAAUAGGGGUCGACUGAUAAUUUAGGGAUUACACUGAUACUGAUUGCAUCUGAACCGCUAAGUCCAUUGACAGAAGAAACCUGAAACUUUUCAUCCAGGUUUAGAAUUGAGAACAGUGGUGGCCGGCCCAUAGCCAGCAGACCAAGGAGAAAAAUAAAUCCUACAACCAGAGUUUGUGUAGGAGUUGGUUCGAGUGCAAGUCAUGGCUGACAGGAUGUGGAACAGCAAAUGUGAGACACUACAUAAAAGCCAGACUAAAAAGAAAUCAAGCAGACAGACAAUGUUCAUGCCACAAUGUCAGAAAUCAAUUACUUUUUACACAUUUAAACCGGGACAGCAUGUACACAUUUCAACCUUUUAAGCCGGGAGCGCGACUGUGCAUUUCUACUUGGAAAGCCAAGUGCAUGUAGGUAUUUUAACCCUUCAAGUCGGGAGAAGCGUGAACGCAUUUUAACCUUCCUAGCUGGCGGCGCCGCUGAGCAUUUCUACCCUUUAAGUCAGGGGUGUCAAAGUCAAAUGGACGGAGGGCCAAAUAAAAAAUUUAGCUACAAGCCGAGGGCCGGACUGAUCGAAUGUUCAUUGAAAAUUUUUUAAAUGAGGCAUAUAGUCUAGUGAACCUAAUUGAACCUACUGAAAACCUAACAAAUAUAUUCCAAUAUGAUCAGAUAAACAAAGCAAUAUUUUCUUAUGGCUCUGUCAGUAAUCUUUAAUUUUCAACAGACACAAAAGACAAAUUUCCUUUAUAUAAAAAUCCCCAUAACAUGAACAUUAAAUGAAAGAAACCGGUAUUAUUCAAGGCACCAUCAGUAGCCUAUAUUUUCUAUUUUAGCAAAAGUGGGCUAAAUUUACUUCAAAGAAAAAAAUAAUAAUAGCAAUUUUCUAUCAUCCACUGUUCCAUGUCCAUAUUCUUGUUUUUGUCCGCGUGUUUCGUUUCAUAAUGUCGUCUCAGAUUAUACUCUUUCAGUACCGCCACACUUUCUCCACACAGAAGACACACAGGUUUUCCAGCUACCUCCGUGAACAUAUACUCCAACUCCCACCUUAUUUGAAACCCCCGGUUCUCAGUGUCCACCUUCCGUUUUGCCAUUUUUGAUGGGUAUCUGAAAGUCAAUUUUACUGUUGUGCUGACGACUGCUGUGCUAAUAAAUAUUGAAAUGAAGCAGCCUACUGCUCGGUGCGUCACCGUUGCAUUGUGGGAAAUGUAGUAUUGGUGCGUGUAAAAGAUCUGCGGGCUGCCGGCUUGCUGCGGUCUGCGGGCCGGUUCUAAUAAUAAAUCAAGAUCAUCCCAGGGGCCGUAAAAAACCUUCUCGCGGGCCGGAUGUGGCCCGCGGGCCUUGACUCUGACAUAUGUGCUUUAAGUCAUUUACAUCAUUUUGUGGCAUUCUGUCAUUUUUAAAUCAUUUGUGGAGUCGUGGCAAAUCAAAUCAUCAUACCCAUCUGCCUCUGAUUGCCGAACAAAGCGGUCGGAUUCAUGCUCGGAUCUUGCUACUGCUUCGUGAGGAAAGUAAACAAUGACGGAGGCAGAGAGUCCAGCAGUGUGAACAACCUCUUUAUAUGGAGUGCUUUUGCUCACACUAUUGGCGAUUUCUGUGAGUGUUGCAUGACUUUGGGUGAGCACAAAGAUGAACACACUGUCAGCCACUUAAUGAUUUUUUUUUUUUUUAGUUUUUAGUGUUGGUCUUGUACUGGCACUAAAUUAGAGCAGCUGUAUACACUUUCAACACUUAUUUUUUAUUUUUACAUUUGUAUUGAACGGACACUUUUGUCAUGACUGCCACUUGUUUUACAGAAAGCAAACAGUUUGUUAUUUUCCAGUGCAGAGUCUUUACUUUUAUUUAUACAGCCGCUUUUUUCAUUUGAGUUGAUAAAGUUUCAGAAAAAUAAAAGCUAGUUAUCUUCAAAGCAACAUGUGUAAGCUCUCAAAAAAUUUUGAAUUUUGUUUCUAUCCGCUACAGAGGCUGAGACAUCAGCUUUUUGUAAACCUCAACACUUAAGAAAACCUCAGGAUCUUGGAGGACUUCUCAAAGAUUGAAUGUUUCCUCAAUUAUUUUCUCAGAAUGCACCAAAAUGCUUAAUUUACAUGUGAGAGACAAAAAAAUUUUUUUUUUAAAAAAUCUCCCCGGCAGACCACCCCACAGGGCUCUGGUCUCCAAACUUUCCGCCCCACCUACUAUUUUUUUAAAACUGAAACAUUCAACAAACACCAUGUGGGUGUUGCUUUUUACACAGCUCUGGUUUCAAAAAAAUUAUCCAGAGGUGUGCUUUUGCAGAAAAUGUGUGAAGCAAGUCAUUAGCACCCACACUAGUUCCCACUAUAUGUUCCAUUAUAUUCCAUGAUUCAAAUUUUGCUUUUUGCAUUUCUUACUCCAUGGACACUAGUUGGUUAAAAAAAAAAAAAAAAAAAAAAAAAAGAAGAUAAUCAAAGACUUCCUUGUCCACAGGGGGUACCAAAGUUGACACAAUCCAAACAUUCCUAAAAAAGGCUUCAAAAGAAAUGGGGUAAAAUACUAGUGGUUUUAAAAUGUGACUUUCAGACUGCAGACCCUAAAAGAGUUCCCCACACCUUUCCCAGUUUCAAGGUGGCGUAUCCUGCAUCAUUGUCCCAAUAAGUAUGAAGUUUGAGCUGACAAAAGGUGGGAGGAAACACAUUGGGGGAUUACAACAAUACCCAUGUAUCUAAUGUUUCUCAACUUUACUAAGUUUUAGCACAGACUGUUAAGCCCCACCCAAGGGCGGACCUAUGGGUCUUAACACUGUCCUCAUCUUUCAACCCAUUGGAUUAACAAAACAUCUUCAAAAGUUUAAGAUGUGAUUUGUGACAAAAUAACAAAGUUACAAACUAAACACGAAGAACCCACAAAACAAAUGAGCGGCGGCAAGGCAGCACUUUCCCACCAAAUGCCUCUCCAUACUGCAGGCAGCUCUGGGGCCUCAUGUAUAAACGCUGGUGGCGCCAGAAAACCUUGCGUUCGCCAAGAUCGGCGCACACGUCCAGAUUUAUCAUCGCGACACAAGCGUCGGUUCCAGCGCAAAUCCACGCAAAGGGAGGAGGUGGUGUAGAAGUUGGCGUUGGGCCAAUACUUAAGUUGACGGCACUUUGGCGACGCUGUGUGGCGGUGUUUGGUGACUCACUAUGUGACAAGCGUGCACCACAUCCCCGUGGCCGAGCAGCACGUCGCCCCACAUGACGAACCAGCAGCAGACGGAGGGAUGCGAGCUGAUCCCUGCCGGACCGCCGUCCUCGCGCGGGAGAAUCUCAUCGCCACAAUGUGAAUGGGUAAGAAGUGAAUACACAGUUCAAUGAGCCAAAUGAAUUUAUUUUCUCCACCAGACGCUCGAGGACAUUUACGAGCCGGUCCAGCCGCUGGUCCAGCGGAAGUGCCGCGGCUGGUGGAUGCUCCACCGCUUGUCGGCACGCUGGUGCUGGUGCUGGGGCCGGGGUGGCCCGAAUGCCGCUGGUCCUGGCCGACGACUCUGAGCCGGCGGACGGGCUGCCGCAGGCCGGGGUUCCGCAAGCUGGCGACACGGCCGACACAUUGAUCUCUGUGACACAAUAAAAAUAUUGGUUCAUUUCAAUUCCUGGUUCUGUGUAUCUGUUGCGUUUACAUCUAUGGCAAAGCAUGUGGACAUUUGUGUGACACGCCACUUACCCUCCGGCAGGCUGUCUGAGCGGCGACAAUCCCCCCCACAGAGGCGCCCCCAUAACCGCCACCACCCGCUGCUCAAACGGCGUGACGGUCUCCUCCCUCGGACCCCCACCUGUCUGGCCGGUACUCCUCCGGAGGGCAGCUGUACGCCGCUUGACCUCCACCUUGAGGUCCGACCACUUUUUUUUCAAUUUCCGCGGGGUUGCAUGUCUCGGAACCCACCGCGUUCACCCUCUCGCAAACUGUCUCCCACUCCAAGCGUUUUCGUUUUGCACUGAUGCCACUGGACAGGCUGCCAAACAAUACACGCUGUCGCUCCUCCACCUCGCACGCCGUAACUUUCGUUUUUCUUGUCAUUUUGUCUGUGUGCGAGGACAGGGAGACCCUAUUUAAAUAAAUCUGCAUAUUUAUAGGUGGGCGUAACGGGGGCGGGCCCGGUCACUCCGACAUCUGCGCUCAAUUCCAAGCUGAUUGGGAUUUAUCAAGGAAACACACGUGGCUUUCGGCGCCCGCACACCUUGAUACAUACGAAUUUUUUCAGCAUGACGGACCUUGCGUGCGCUCGUUUCCGGUAUGAGUCCCACGCAAGUGUUGAUACAUGAGGCCCCUGGGCUUUUAAACUCUCAGCAACAAGUGAGUCUGAUUGGCACUCAGUGAUUUCACCUGGGCAGCUAUGGGGAGACAAAAAUGGGAAAAACACACACAAAACACACAGCCGUAACAUCCCCACCCUUAAGACAAUGAAUGAAUAAUUUGUACUGCAAAAAUAACCACUACUAUUGCACAUCAUUAAUCUUAUAAAAAAAAAAAAAAUUAUUAAUUGAAUUAAAGUGCAUUGUGCCAACCAUAUUAAUACAGGAAUUUAACUAAAUAGGUGUUACUUACCAAGGCUGUGUGUGACAAAACACAGGCCACUGCACAAGCUUAAAAACCUCACAAUUCACAAAAGCUGAAGACAACCACUGCUGACAAAAGGUGCAAAAUGGGUCAUGAGGAACACAAAAUCUUAUUCAAUCACUAGGGCCAAAGAAGAUGCUGCACCCAUCCCAAAAGUAGCCAAUUAGGUGGGUGCCACUCCCACAAAGCAAAAUGGCAACUACCAUUAGGUCAACACACACACACGCACGCACGUGCAAAACACAAAAAUUUGCCAGUACCACACUCACAGUAACAGAUGUCCAACACCAAAGUGGAGUGAACAGUCACACGAAAAAAACUGCUGUCAUUCACAAACAUCCAACAAAAGUGACUGCCGCCACUGCAACACAAAUGGACACAAGUCUUAAAAAGACAUAUGAGUUACUGUGAUUAGGCUGGCCACAACCCAAACAAACGGAACAUACAAUUAGGAAUAUGAAACAGUAACAAAAAAGUCACCCACCAAAUGUAGACUGCAAACCACUACACAAAAUGGUCACAUAGAAGUCACCACUACACAAAUAUUGCCACCUUACACCUAAGGUGCAACUCACACGUGACCCACCAAAUGUGGAGAGCAGUUACCCACAACACAAGUGACUGCCCACAUAAAAUCCUAAUUGUAAUCAUAGAGUGACCUAGCAAAAAUGGGUAGGCUUCUAAAACACACACAAAAACAGUAUUGUAGUUCAAAACAACUUUAAAAAGUAAAAUGAGUCACCCCGACCCCUAUCUGCUUAACAAGAUGUCUUACUUACCUAACUAGUCUUCAGGGGGCUUCACGAGCUUGAGGCAUCACCUAAGUGUGCCCCCUCCUCAGGAUUACCUCCAAAACUAAGAAAGGCAAAGUAAAAAAAAGUGGCAAGCUCUUCCCUGCCCAGCAACUAAAUGAUCAGGGUGCUCAGAAAUCACAAAGAAAAGCAACUACUAAUGAUAGUGACAGAAACAGAAGACUAACAAAGCCAAACUAUGGUCACUAGUUAAGAAGCGAGAAAAACAACUUCAAAGAACCUCAUGGAUGUUUUAUCCCAGGCGAGCCCCCAUUUGUUACUCCUCCCCCGAAGGGUAUAUAGUAUAUACAGUCUAUGUUAAGGACGUUAAAGUAAGUAAGUAACUAACAAAGUGAAAUUAAUUUAGUAUAGCAACUCUCAUAGUAAAGAUUCACAAAGUGCUUCACAGUAAAAAAAAAUCAAAAUGCAAUCAUAAACAUCAAGUAAAAUCAAAGUACAAUAAAAAACAAUGGCAUAAAUAGAGCAUUAGCUAAAAUUGGGGGAGAUAAAGGCCUGUUUAAAUAAGUGAGUCUUUAAAAGAUUUUAUAAAGUGACAAUGGAAACAGCCGAACGAAUAUCAGCAGGUAAAUUGUUCCACAGUGUUGGAGCCACCACUUCAAAAGCACGGUCACCUCUAGUUUUUAGAUGAGCUUGAGGGACAACGAGCAAGCCCUGGUCAACAGAUCUGAGUGACCUACAAGGAAUGUAGGGGUGAAGCAGGUUAGUGAUAUAUUCAGGGGCCUGACCAUGCAGAGCUUUGUAAACAAAAACAAGAACCUUGGGGUGAUGUGGGUUGUCCGGCUGGACUUGGUCAACAGCCUUUAACGGCAUUCUGGACUAAUUGCAGGUGAUGAAGUGAGGACUUACUGAGACAGGUGAAAAGUGAAUUACAGUAGUCCAGGCGGGAAGAAAUGAAAGCAUGAAUGAUCAUUUCAAGUUCAGAAUAUGGCACAACUGACUUAAUUUUAGCAAUGUUUCGUAGAUGGAAGAAGAAUGACCUGGCCAAUAUUUUUAUAUAGUGAUCAAAGUUCAUGCAGUGAUCGAAAAUUUUAGACUGGACAGCAGAAGACAGGGAACCAAUACAACUUUGUGAGCUAUGGUAUCUGACCCAACAAUGAGGAUCUCGAUCUUGUCAGCGUUUAGCUGCAGAAGGUUAUGAGCCAUCCAGUCCUUAAUGGUGGUCACUCAAAAGAGCAACGCAAUUGAUUUGUCUGUGUCAUUGGGCCUAAAAGACACAUACAGCUGGAUGUCAUCAGCCUAAAAGUGAUAAGAAAUGCCCUUGAAUUUACUGAUGAUAUGACUUAAGGGCAGCAAAUACACAGCAAAUAAUAAAGGGCCCAACAUAGAACCCUAAGGGACACCACAGGAGAGGGCAGCUGUUUCAGAUAUAUAUAUGGACCAAGUGACACAGAAAAGCUUCUGUCAGAAAGACAGGAGGAGAACCAAUCCAGGGCAAUCGCAGAGAUAAAGUCCACCUCCAGUUGGUCAACCAGAGGGAAGGUAAAGUCAGCUUUACUGAUAUGGAGAAUACUGCCAAACUCUGCUCCACAAAUAGGUGAACUCAACAAGACUGUGUCCAUGUUUUUCACAGUCUAUGGUAUAGACAUCCAACAUUGUAACACUGUAAACAGUAACUGUAUUAAACUGUGGAUCAGUUUAAUAAGUCUCCCCUUUUACCAAGAAAAGACCAAGAUUUAGAACUUUUAAGGUACUUUGUCUUGGAGGAUCUCCAGUUUGUUGGAUGUUUAGUUUGGAGUGACUUUAUGAACUCCUCUGCCCCAGACUUCAGACUUCUCUAGAGAUCUCUUUGAGAACUCUCGAAACUUGAAAACUUUUCCUCUGAGGUAUUUUAACCAAGUCAGGGUGAGGGUUUCCAGACAUCUUGACUCAAAUUUCAGCCCUGGCC
Molecule: long non-coding RNA, 7804 nt
Filed under: Xyrichtys novacula (pearly razorfish)
Lineage: Eukaryota; Metazoa; Chordata; Actinopteri; Labriformes; Labridae
Source: RNAcentral